ACCCGCACAAGCGGUGGAGCAUGUGGUUUAAUUCGACGCAACGCGAAGAACCUUACCAGGGCUUGACAUCCCCUGACCGCGUUAUGAAAGUACGUUUUCACCCUCGGGUGACAGGGAGACAGGUGGUGCAUGGUUGUCGUCAGCUCGUGUCGUGAGAUGUUGGGUUAAGUCCCGCAACGAGCGCAACCCCUACGUUUAGUUGCUAACGCGUGAAGGCGAGCACUCUAGACGAACUGCCGUUGACAAAACGGAGGAAGGUGGGGAUGACGUCAAAUCAUCAUGCCCCUUAUGUUCUGGGCUACACACGUGCUACAAUGGCCGGUACAGACGGACGCAAAGCCGCGAGGUGGAGCAAAUCCUAAAAAGCCGGUCUCAGUUCGGAUUGCAGGCUGCAAUUCGCCUGCAUGAAGUCGGAAUCGCUAGUAAUCGCGGAUCAGCACGCCGCGGUGAAUACGUUCCCGGGCCUU
This 467-nucleotide ribosomal RNA is filed under the name uncultured Pelotomaculum sp. RNAcentral's name for it is "bacterial SSU rRNA". It matches the Rfam family "Bacterial small subunit ribosomal RNA", at positions 919 to 1382 of the family's 1533-position model. Lineage: Bacteria; Bacillati; Bacillota; Clostridia; Eubacteriales; Desulfotomaculaceae. The record is from RNAcentral.